CCCUUAGAUGUUCUGGGCCGCACACGCGCUACAAUGGUGAAUUCAACAAGUCAACCAAAGCCGAUAGGUGGAGGUAAACUCGUAGUAUUCGCCGUGAUGGGGAUAGACCCUUGUAAUUAUUGGUCUCCAACGAGGAAUUCCUAGUAGGCGCAAGUCAUCAACUUGCAUCGAUUACGUCCCUGCCCUUUGUACACACCGCCCGUCGCACCUACCGAUUGAAUGGUCCGGUGAAGUCUUCGGACAGUGGCAGUUUACUGCUACUGAAAGUUGAGUGAACCUUACCAUUUAGAGGAAGGUGAAGUCGUAACA
RNAcentral lists this ribosomal RNA (309 nucleotides) under uncultured eukaryote. Its description in RNAcentral is "partial 18S ribosomal RNA". It matches the Rfam family "Eukaryotic small subunit ribosomal RNA", at positions 1470 to 1796 of the family's 1831-position model. The record is from RNAcentral.